UAAAAGUUUUUUAACUUUAAUAUUUAAUUUAAAUUAAUAUAUAAAUAAAUAAUUGUAUAAUUUUUAUAAAAUUUAAAAUUUUAUAUUUAAUGUAGAUUUGUAAUAUUUUUAUAUUAAAAAUUAAAGAAAUUUAGAUUUAGUAAUUAAAUAAGAAUAAUUGAUAAAAUUUGUGCCAGCAAUCGCGGUUAAACAAAUGAUUAAAUAAAUAUUUUUUUAUUUUAAUUAAUAUGAGUGAGUAUGUUUUUAAUAAUUAAAAUAAAAUUUUAAAUUUUUAGGUAAAAUUUUAAUUUAAAUGUAUUUUAAAAAAUUUAAAAUUAAAAAAUAAAUGAAAUUAAUAAAAUAAUAAGUAAACUAGGAUUAGAUACCCUAUUAUUGUUAAAAUAAAGGAAAAGUAAAAAGUAUUAAUAAGGUUAUUUUAUAAAUUUAAAAAAAUUGGCAGUAUUUUAAUCUAUUUAGAGGAAUUUGUUAUGUAAUUGAUAAUCCACGAAUAAAUUUACUUAAAUUAUUUAGUUUGUAUAUCAUUGUUAUAAAAGCUUAUUUAGAAGUUUAAAGUUUAAUAUUUUUAAAAAAAAGUUAUAUCAAAUCAUUAUGCAGUUUAUGUUUAAGAUUUAAAUGAAUUAUAAUGAAUUUAUUUUUGAAUAAAAAAUUGAAAAAUUUUUUUGAAAUUAGAUUUAAAAGUAAUUUUAUAUUAAUUUUAUAAAAUGAUUUAGUUUUAAAAUAUGCACAUAUUGCCCGUCAUUUUCAUUUUAAAUUGAAACAAGUCGUAACAAAGUAGAAUUACUGGAAAGUGUUUCUAGAAUGUU
RNAcentral lists this non-coding RNA (803 nucleotides) under Sericostoma personatum. Lineage: Eukaryota; Metazoa; Arthropoda; Insecta; Trichoptera; Sericostomatidae. The record is from RNAcentral.